GUGGGGAAUUUUGGACAAUGGGGGCAACCCUGAUCCAGCCAUGCCGCGUGCGGGAAGAAGGCCUUCGGGUUGUAAACCGCUUUUGUCAGGGAAGAAAUCCUUUGGGUUAAUACCUCGGAGGGAUGACGGUACCUGAAGAAUAAGCACCGGCUAACUACGUGCCAGCAGCCGCGGUAAUACGUAGGGUGCGAGUGUUAAUCGGAAUUACUGGGCGUAAAGCGUGCGCAGGCGGUUUUGUAAGAUCGAUGUGAAAUCCCCGGGCUCAACCUGGGAACUGCAUUGGUGACUGCAAGGCUGGAGUGCGGCAGAGGGGGAUGGAAUUCCGCGUGUAGCAGUGAAAUGCGUAGAUAUGCGGAGGAACACCGAUGGCGAAGGCAAUCCCCUGGGCCUGCACUGACGCUCAUGCACGAAAGCGUGGGGAGCAAACAGGAUUAGAAACCCGAGUAGUCC
Molecule: ribosomal RNA, 450 nt
Filed under: uncultured bacterium
Lineage: Bacteria
Description: partial 16S ribosomal RNA
Rfam family: Bacterial small subunit ribosomal RNA
Source: RNAcentral